This 443-nucleotide ribosomal RNA is filed under the name uncultured prokaryote. Its description in RNAcentral is "bacterial SSU rRNA". It matches the Rfam family "Bacterial small subunit ribosomal RNA", at positions 355 to 796 of the family's 1533-position model. The record is from RNAcentral.
UAGGGAAUAUUGGUCAAUGGGCGAGAGCCUGAACCAGCCAUGCCGCGUGCAGGAUGACGGCCUUCUGGGUUGUAAACUGCUUUUAUACAGGAAGAAAAAAUCCUUGCGAGGAAAAUUGCCGGUACUGUAUGAAUAAGCACCGGCUAACUCCGUGCCAGCAGCCGCGGUAAUACGGAGGGUGCAAGCGUUGUCCGGAUUUAUUGGGUUUAAAGGGUACGUAGGCGUCCCAACAAGUUUUUGGUGAAAUCUUCCGGCUUAACCGGAAAACUGCCAGAAAAACUGUCGGGAUUGAAUUCAGUUGAGGUAAGCGGAAUUUAUGAUGUAGCGGUGAAAUGCAUAGAUAUCAUAAAGAACACCUAUUGCGAAGGCAGCUUGCUGGACUUGAAUUGACGCUGAGGUACGAAAGCGUGGGGAGCGAACAGGAUUAGAUACCCCCGUAGUCC